RNAcentral lists this ribosomal RNA (446 nucleotides) under uncultured bacterium. RNAcentral's name for it is "bacterial SSU rRNA". It matches the Rfam family "Bacterial small subunit ribosomal RNA", at positions 330 to 793 of the family's 1533-position model. The record is from RNAcentral.
GCCAGACUCCUACGGGAGGCAGCAGUGGGGAAUAUUGCACAAUGGGGGAAACCCUGAUGCAGCGACGCCGCGUGAGUGAAGAAGUAAUUCGUUAUGUAAAGCUCUAUCAGCAGGGAAGAAAAUGACGGUACCUGAGUAAGAAGCCCCGGCUAACUACGUGCCAGCAGCCGCGGUAAUACGUAGGGGGCAAGCGUUAUCCGGAUUUACUGGGUGUAAAGGGAGCGUAGACGGCAGUGCAAGUCCGGAGUGAAAGCCCGGGGCUCAACCCUGGGACUGCUCUGGAAACUGUAAAGCUGGAGUGCGGGAGGGGCAGGCGGAAUUCCUGGUGUAGCGGUGAAAUGCGUAGAUAUUAGGAGGAACACCAGUGGCGAAGGCGGCUUACUGGACUGUAACUGACGUUGAGGCUCGAAAGCGUGGGGAGCAAACAGGAUUAGAUACCCCCGUAA